GUCCAAUUGGAGAACACACUUGUCCGAACACAUUAAUUACGAAUGAGAAGAUACAGAUGAACAACAGAGUGUAAGACGUGGAAGCCAUGCUGAUCACCCACGAAAGACGCUGGAAUAUGUUGGAAUACUUUACGCGAAUUGUGAAACUCCUGCCUCGUCCACCACCCAUGAACAACAAAUCAAAAAGUUUUGGAAAACACUCUGGAAGAAAAUUUGUCUCAGUAGCUUCCGUUCUUUUAUUACAUUAUCAUAAUGUCCAAUCAACAAACAUGAGGAUUUUAUGACUGGAUUCCGUGAUGACUGCAAACACUUUACGACGACAAUCAAAACAGACAAUGUAUCUGCAUAAGAGGAUACAAGUACGUAAGUGCAUACGCACAGCAGAAUGAAGCCAUUUAGUGUUUAGGAUACCGGGCGACAGACUGAAAUUUUACGAGUCGAACUGGAUAUUUACAGACGAGUAUGGAUAAUAAACAUUGCUAAAUGGAA
Folsomia candida is the source of this 489-nucleotide long non-coding RNA. RefSeq lists it as uncharacterized. The transcript has 2 exons. NCBI's taxonomy places the organism in Eukaryota, Metazoa, Arthropoda, Collembola, Entomobryomorpha, Isotomidae. The record is from RefSeq and is a predicted model, not a curated record.